AGUCUGACGGAGCACGCCGCGUGAGUGAUGAAGGUUUUCGGAUCGUAAAGCUCUGUUGUUAGGGAAGAACAAGUGCGAGAGUAACUGCUCGCACCUUGACGGUACCUAACCAGAAAGCCACGGCUAACUACGUGCCAGCAGCCGCGGUAAUACGUAGGUGGCAAGCGUUGUCCGGAAUUAUUGGGCGUAAAGGGCUCGCAGGCGGUUUCUUAAGUCUGAUGUGAAAGCCCCCGGCUCAACCGGGGAGGGUCAUUGGAAACUGGGAAACUUGAGUGCAGAAGAGGAGAGUGGAAUUCCACGUGUAGCGGUGAAAUGCGUAGAGAUGUGGAGGAACACCAGUGGCGAAGGCGACUCUCUGGUCUGUAACUGACGCUGAGGAGCGAAAGCGUGGGGAGCGAACAGGAUUAGAUACCCUGGUAGUCCACGCCGUAAACGAUGAGUGCUAAGUGUUAGGGGGUUUCCGCCCCUUAGUGCUGCAGCUAACGCAUUAAGCACUCCGCCUGGGGAGUACGGUCGCAAGACUGAAACUCAAAGGAAUUGACGG
This 544-nucleotide ribosomal RNA is filed under the name Bacillus safensis. RNAcentral's name for it is "bacterial SSU rRNA". It matches the Rfam family "Bacterial small subunit ribosomal RNA", at positions 380 to 916 of the family's 1533-position model. RNAcentral also lists the same sequence under 1 other name. Lineage: Bacteria; Bacillati; Bacillota; Bacilli; Caryophanales; Bacillaceae. The record is from RNAcentral.